GCACGACUAAAAAAGUUAAGACAUUAGAGAAUGAAGCCAAACUGGGCUGUAAAAAGCCAUAAGUUACAAUAACCACAUCUAAUACUAAACAAAUUCCACUCGUGAAAGUCAGGACACAAACUAAGAUUAGAUACCUUACUAUGCCUAACUGUAACACAACAAUUAAACUACCAAUUGUUCGCCAAAUAACUACGAGUAAAAACUUAAAAUUUAAAAGACUUGACGGUACCUCACAACAGCCUAGAGGAGCCUGUCCAUAACCGAUACCCCACGAUUAACCUCACCCCCCCUGGCCAACAGUCUAUAUACCGCCGUCGCCAGCCUACCUUAUGAAAGAAACAAAGUAAGCCAAAUAGUCACACACUAGCACGACAGGUCGAGGUGUAACUUAUGGGGGGGCCAAGAUGGGCUACAUUUUCUAACACAGAAUAAACGAAUAAACUAUGAAAAAGAAACUGAAGGCGGAUUUAGCAGUACACUGGGAACAAAAUACCCAGUCGAAAUCAAUGCAAUGAGGUGCGUACACACCGCCCGUCAUCCCUGUUGCCAAACCUACACAAAUCCAUAAAAACAAAAAGUAAUCAAAGCAGGGCAAGUCGU
This 600-nucleotide ribosomal RNA is filed under the name Orientocoluber spinalis (Slender racer). Its description in RNAcentral is "partial 12S ribosomal RNA". Lineage: Eukaryota; Metazoa; Chordata; Lepidosauria; Squamata; Colubridae. The record is from RNAcentral.